UGAAUCAGUCAAGUUUGAACUGAGGUAUACGCGCUCAAAGCCGGCAGCGAGCGGCGCGGUCGCGUCGCGGUCGACUGGGGAUUUCAAGUGUGUGUAUCUCGGCUCUCAGUAGCGCUAAACGUUUCAAAACUUCAGGGUUUAUUAAAAACA
Caenorhabditis elegans is the source of this 150-nucleotide non-coding RNA. Lineage: Eukaryota; Metazoa; Nematoda; Chromadorea; Rhabditida; Rhabditidae. The record is from Ensembl.